This 468-nucleotide ribosomal RNA is filed under the name uncultured bacterium. Its description in RNAcentral is "partial 16S ribosomal RNA". It matches the Rfam family "Bacterial small subunit ribosomal RNA", at positions 28 to 507 of the family's 1533-position model. The record is from RNAcentral.
GACGAACGCUGGCGGCAUGCUUAACACAUGCCAGUCGAACGGAAAGGCCCUGCUUUUGUGGGGUGCUCGAGUGGCGAACGGGUGAGUAACACGUGAGUAACCUGCCCUUGACUUUGGGAUAACUUCAGGAAACUGGGGCUAAUACCGGAUAGGAGCUCCUGCUGCAUGGUGGGGGUUGGAAAGUUUCGGCGGUUGGGGAUGGACUCGCGGCUUAUCAGCUUGUUGGUGGGGUAGUGGCUUACCAAGGCUUUGACGGGUAGCCGGCCUGAGAGGGUGACCGGCCACAUUGGGACUGAGAUACGGCCCAGACUCCUACGGGAGGCAGCAGUAGGGAAUAUUGCACAAUGGGCGGAAGCCUGAUGCAGCAACGCCGCGUGCGGGAUGACGGCCUUCGGGUUGUAAACCGCUUUCGCCUGUGACGAAGCGUGAGUGACGGUAAUGGGUAAAGAAGCACCGGCUAACUACGUG